RNAcentral lists this ribosomal RNA (707 nucleotides) under uncultured Providencia sp. RNAcentral's name for it is "bacterial SSU rRNA". It matches the Rfam family "Bacterial small subunit ribosomal RNA", at positions 794 to 1502 of the family's 1533-position model. The record is from RNAcentral. Lineage: Bacteria; Pseudomonadati; Pseudomonadota; Gammaproteobacteria; Enterobacterales; Morganellaceae.
UCCACGCUGUAAACGAUGUCGAUUUGGAGUUUGUUGCCUAGAGUGAUGGGCUCCGAAGCUAACGCGAUAAAUCGACCGCUGGGGAGUACGGCCGCAAGGUUAAAACUCAAAUGAAUUGACGGGGGCCCGCACAAGCGGUGGAGCAUGUGGUUUAAUUCGAUGCAACGCGAAGAACCUUACCUGGUCUUGACAUCCAUAGAAUUCUGCAGAGAUGUGGGAGUGCCUUCGGGAACUAUGAGACAGGUGCUGCAUGGCUGUCGUCAGCUCGUGUUGUGAAAUGUUGGGUUAAGUCCCGCAACGAGCGCAACCCUUAUUCUUUGUUGCCAGCGAUUUGGUCGGGAACUCAAAGGAGACUGCCGUUGAUAAAGCGGAGGAAGGUGGGGACGACGUCAAGUCAUCAUGGCCCUUACGACCAGGGCUACACACGUGCUACAAUGGCGUAUACAAAGGGAAGCGAAGGUGCGAGCUGGAGCGGAUCUCAUAAAGUACGUCUAAGUUCGGAUUGGAGUCUGCAACUCGACUCCAUGAAAUCGGAAUCGCUAGUAAUCGUAGAUCAGAAUGCUACGGUGAAUACGUUCCCGGGCCUUGUACACACCGCCCGUCACACCAUGGGAGUGGGUUGCACCAGAAGUAGAUAGCUUAACCGCGAGGGGGGCGUUUACCACGGUGUGAUUCAUGACUGGGGUGAAGUCGUAACAAGGUAACCA